CAAGUCGAGCGGCAGCGGGAAGAAGCUUGCUUCUUUGCCGGCGAGCGGCGGACGAGUGAGUAAUGUCUGGGGAUCUGCCUGAUGGAGGGGGAUAACUACUGGAAACGGUAGCUAAUACCGCAUAACGUCGCAAGACCAAAGUGGGGGACCUUCGGGCCUCACACCAUCGGAUGAACCCAGAUGGGAUUAGCUAGUAGGUGGGGUAAUGGCUCACCUAGGCGACGAUCCCUAGCUGGUCUGAGAGGAUGACCAGCCACACUGGAACUGAGACACGGUCCAGACUCCUACGGGAGGCAGCAGUGGGGAAUAUUGCAUAAUGGGGGAAACCCUGAUGCAGCCAUGCCGCGUGCGUGAAGAAGGCCUUCGGGUUGUAAAGCACUUUCAGCGGGGAGGAAGGCGAUGGCGUAAAUAGCGCCAUCGAUUGACGUUACCCGCAGAAGAAGCACCGGCUAACUCCGUGCCAGCAGCCGCGGUAAUACGGAGGGUGCGAGCGUUAAUCGGAAUUACUGGGCGUAAAGCGUACGCAGGCGGUCUGUUAAGUCAGAUGUGAAAUCCCCGGGCUCAACCUGGGAACUGCAUUUGAAACUGGCAGGCUAGAGUCUCGUAGAGGGGGGUAGAAUUCCAGGUGUAGCGGUGAAAUGCGUAGAGAUCUGGAGGAAUACCGGUGGCGAAGGCGGCCCCCUGGACGAAGACUGACGCUCAGGUACGAAAGCGUGGGGAGCAAACAGGAUUAGAUACCCUGGUAGUCCACGCUGUAAACGAUGUCGAUUUGAAGGUUGUGGCCUUGAGCCGUGGCUUUCGGAGCUAACGCGUUAAAUCGACCGCCUGGGGAGUACGGCCGCAAGGUUAAAACUCAAAUGAAUUGACGGGGGCCUGCACAAGCGGUGGAGCAUGUGGUUUAAUUCGAUGCAACGCGAAGAACCUUACCUACUCUUGACAUCCAGAGAACUUGGCAGAGAUGCUUUGGUGCCUUCGGGAGCUCUGAGACAGGUGCUGCAUGGCUGUCGUCAG
Molecule: ribosomal RNA, 1011 nt
Filed under: bacterium endosymbiont of Ornithomya avicularia
Lineage: Bacteria; Pseudomonadati; Pseudomonadota; Gammaproteobacteria; Enterobacterales; Enterobacteriaceae
Description: bacterial SSU rRNA
Rfam family: Bacterial small subunit ribosomal RNA
Source: RNAcentral